CAUAUUAUCGCUGUCCUGAACAGCUGAUUUUGGUUCUGAUUUUUUAGAUUUUUACUUUUUAGCUACAUAGUACGUAUCACAACCGGUGUAUUACUAAUUAUUUCAGCAAAAUGAAAACAUCGCUAAAAGUGGCCACAGUUAUUAUGUAAUUUAUGCUGAUUUUAAUUGUAAGAUUCUCUUUACUUCUGUUUUCCUGCUUGUUAUUAAGUAAGAGUUUCUCGCCGGCCCCGUGUGACCGCCCACCAGAGCUGCAACCGCGGAAACGCAGUUCUCCAGGCGCAGGCCGACUUUUUAUUUUUAGAUUCCUCUUACAAGUUAGUCGGUUUGUGACACACCCACGAGGGAAGCUUGUAAUCGUUCUGAACGUGCUACACUGUAGGAGCAAUCCUGGGAAGCAUGAAUCAUGGAAAAAACUUAGGCAGCUGCGUCAAGUUUGUACAUGCGAUGCAGCGGAAAGUGAUGCCCAGAGCCGAGGAAAACCGCACGGUGGUUACCGUCGGAAACUUCCAAACUAACACGGAUCGGCGAGAUAUAUAAAGCUGAGCUUAUGCAGAAGAUUUUCACAAGUUUCUCGAGCCCUGAAACAGUCCUAAAUUGAACGAUUGCACGCUCUGACUAGUGAACGCUUAAAACUUAGAAGCGUUGAAGGAGUCAUUUUGAUUAAAUUCCGUUGACCAUAAAAGUACCGCGUUUUCAAAAUGGACAAGAAGGGAGUUGAACAAGGAGUGGAAGGCCCUGUAACCAACCAGAAGGCGAAUCUCGGCCACAACAAUCCUGCUGGUGACCUUAAGGACAACAGUGGCGGUGGCCUGGAAGCCCACCAAAGGCAGGACGGCAAGACGGGCGAAGACAAAAAACUCGAUGAGAAGAAGUAAUCCAGACCAAACUGCGUGAUGAAUGUUUGUGAAACAUCUUAAUUGAUUCUGCUGAUUUACAUUCUGUAUUACGGUGACUUUUAACAGUAACACAGUCUGAUCAUGAUGCAUCGCCCGGCAGCAUUAAGUCGACUUAAGCUUAUAUAUGCUGUUAUUACCUAACUGUAAAUAUUUUGUUUCUAAUAUUCGCUGUUUUAUAUUAUGCCGUACGUACGACUCUGGGUUUCAAGACCCAAUGAGCACCAGAACAAAAACAACGCAAUAAAUGAAAGUACAGAA
This is a long non-coding RNA of Paramacrobiotus metropolitanus, 1154 nucleotides long. RefSeq lists it as uncharacterized. The record is from RefSeq and is a predicted model, not a curated record. The transcript has 2 exons. NCBI's taxonomy places the organism in Eukaryota, Metazoa, Tardigrada, Eutardigrada, Parachela, Macrobiotidae.